AUAGAUUUAGUAUAAUUUUAUUAUGUUAAGUUUAGGUCUUAAAGAUUAAAAUCUAUU
Molecule: transfer RNA, 57 nt
Filed under: Strongyloides cebus
Lineage: Eukaryota; Metazoa; Nematoda; Chromadorea; Rhabditida; Strongyloididae
Description: tRNA-Leu
Source: RNAcentral